This 95-nucleotide non-coding RNA is filed under the name unclassified sequences. RNAcentral describes it as "RT-17 RNA". It matches the Rfam family "RT-17 RNA". Rfam says of the family: Bacteroidales (Bacteroidetes), Clostridiales (Firmicutes). Nearby to self- splicing intron genes The record is from Rfam by way of RNAcentral.
UACCUUGCCACAUGGCAAAACACAAAAAUUUAUUAACUGUAUUAGUAGACUUGAACAAUGUUCAAGGUUGAAGAUUCGGUUAUAUUAGCAUACAC